Molecule: long non-coding RNA, 1612 nt
Organism: Anser cygnoides (Swan goose)
Lineage: Eukaryota; Metazoa; Chordata; Aves; Anseriformes; Anatidae
Source: Ensembl
CCUCGGGGGUUUCGGGCCAUGGCCACGUCAUUUGUAAAAGAUGGGAGGGAGCAGGGAUGCAGCACUCGGAUGGAGAGUUGCACGCAGCGCUGCCACGGACGCGGCGUGGGCUGGGGGUCUCUAAUCCUGCUCCUGCAACGGAGGAGAGCUCGUCCCCAAAGCCUCCGGCCGAGGCAGCAGAAGGGCGAGCAGGAGCAGCGGGGGAGAGGGGGACGAGUUUGGGGCGCUGCACCCGGCGGGGGCUGCACUGCCCUCCCCAGGCCCGCGGGAAGCAGAGAUUGCAUCUGCCUUUAAUUACUCCCUCUCUGCAUAUCAGAUGCUCGUGCACCUUCUGCACAUGAAUGCUGAUUAAUUGCAGGGUUAGGCUCUGAGGCAGGCCGGACCACAUUAUUUCUGAUGUUUGCUCUUUUCACGAGGAGAAUAAAUGCCAUGAAUCCACAGUAAUCAGUGGCUUUUAGCUUGUCACUCUUAUGACACUCUUUACUUAGACCAGGAAAUGGCAAAUGUGGUGGAAAUAAGAACUUUAUUAUCUAUUUUUUUUGCUCCCAAAAGGGAGGUGUGUGUUGGGGGCUGGGGGGGUGGCAGAAGAAGGUGGUGGGGGCAUCUCGCCGAGCGGGAGAUGGAGAAAGAGGCUCCAUUUUCCCUGCAUCCAAGGAGCUGUGCUUCGCCGCGUUCGGCGAGAGAGAGAAGAAAAGCGGCGGCGGCGGCUUUGUGGCAGCUCCUCGGGGAGGAGGCCCCGGAGGGCAGGGGCGGUUGGGGGGUGCGGGGCCCUCGGGCUGGGCCAUCCCCACCCGCCUGGGCCCCCCCGCUGCCGUCCGUGCUGGUUUGGUGGCCGCAAGCAGCAUCACUGCGCCAGGUCACGCCGGGUCCCCAGGAGGUACGCCCGGGCAUGCAGAUGGUGAACGGGCCACCACGAGAAGAUUGGGGUGUCCUGAGGCUCGUCUGGGGUGCUCAGGGCUCCUCCAGGGAGGGGGUGGCUGCACCCAUGGGUGGGAGAGCUGCAGGGCUCUGGGUGUCACCCUGCUGUGGCCUCCACUGCGACCAUGGCCUUGCAGCAAGGGACAGCCCGAAAUAUUUAACACGGACACACGCCGUAAGGCCACCUCCAGGGCUGGAUGUCCCUUCAGGCCCGGGUGACAUCCCCAAGCCCCACAGCCCGACGGGAGGAGAGGAGCGAGGAGGAGGACCCACAACAUCCCGACGCCGAGCGGGGACAAACAUCAGCACCGCGUCCCUCGUCCCCGGCCUUCCCUCGCCAGCAAACCCCGCUCGGCCCCAAUCGGCUCAGAGAUCCUGGGCAGAGCCUUCCUGCACCCGCACUCGCUGCAGCGCGAUGCCCGCCGUCCUGCGCCCUCUCCCGGGACGCGCGUGUCUGCCGCUGAUAUCUCCUGCCCAUCCUCUUCUGUCAACACUGCCGGAGCGAGGGAGAGAUUUGAUUUUUAGCAGCGUGCCCUCUGUGUCAAUAACUCCCCCCGGCCCUUCUCGCCAGCUCGGCCUUCUCCUCGCCCCCCUCUCCUGCCGGCGGCAGACGCCGGGAGCCGUGGCGGGAGGGCGGCGGGCAGACAAAGAGCAGCCCCCCCCCUGCCCCAGCCCCCCGGGGGGGCAGCAGCCC